This 73-nucleotide transfer RNA is filed under the name Bos taurus (domestic cattle). It matches the Rfam family "tRNA". Rfam says of the family: Transfer RNA (tRNA) molecules are approximately 80 nucleotides in length. Their secondary structure includes four short double-helical elements and three loops (D, anti-codon, and T loops). Further hydrogen bonds mediate the characteristic L-shaped molecular structure. tRNAs have two regions of fundamental functional importance: the anti-codon, which is responsible for specific mRNA codon recognition, and the 3' end, to which the tRNAs corresponding amino acid is attached (by aminoacyl-tRNA synthetases). tRNAs cope with the degeneracy of the genetic code in two manners: having more than one tRNA (with a specific anti-codon) for a particular amino acid; and 'wobble' base-pairing, i.e. permitting non-standard base-pairing at the 3rd anti-codon position. Lineage: Eukaryota; Metazoa; Chordata; Mammalia; Artiodactyla; Bovidae. The record is from Rfam by way of RNAcentral. RNAcentral also lists the same sequence under 2 other names.
UCCCCGGUGGUCCAGUGGCUAAGACUCCACACUCUCAAUGCAGGGGGUCCAGGUUUGAUCCCUGGUCAGGGAA